AUGGAACAAGGGGUACCAGAAGGUGGAGAACCAAAGAAUGUUGCUGCUGUUGUUGCUGACAUUCUCACUAAAGAAUGUCCCUCCAGCACAUUCCUUCAAAAUGUUGGCCUUGAGUCGAGCUCCAAGAAGAAGUUCAACAGAUCUGCAACUGCUUUGGAUGCUCAUGUACAAGAACUAGAGUACAAGCUUGAGAAGGAGAGGUGA
This 204-nucleotide ribosomal RNA is filed under the name Triticum aestivum (bread wheat). Its description in RNAcentral is "partial small subunit ribosomal RNA". The record is from RNAcentral. Lineage: Eukaryota; Viridiplantae; Streptophyta; Magnoliopsida; Poales; Poaceae.